Molecule: long non-coding RNA, 1934 nt
Organism: Candoia aspera
Lineage: Eukaryota; Metazoa; Chordata; Lepidosauria; Squamata; Candoiidae
Exons: 4
Source: RefSeq, a predicted model, not a curated record
GCACUGGCCCGCCCCCUCCCCAAUUCGAGGAGUGGAGGGAAGGAGGAGGGAGGGGGCGACCACCCGCCGCGAGAGGGUCUUUUGUGCGCGCGUGUGCGCGCAGAGCGAAGGCGGCGGCGCUGCCCUCCCCGCCCGUUGCCUCGAGGGGAGAGGAAGGGAGGUCCGUGCAUGCGAGCCGCCCCCUCCUCGGGUUGCAAACUCCGCGCCGGGGAAGGCUUCCCACGACCGCAGAACAUGAAAGUAAGGUGUGGAAUGUGUUUGCCAAUAUUUCCACCCAGCUCUUGUGGCACCAUUGAGUGGAAGAACCAGGAGAAGAGAAAAAGGACGCAAAUAAAUGAAGCUGCAGGCUUGGAAACGCUGCUGACAUCAUUAACUUUGUGCUGGAAGCAUGUCUCUGGGAUCACGAAGAAGGGUUAAGCCAAUUGCACUGCGUCUGGGAUGGUUCAUUUGAAGCUGGCGACAGAAGCUGGAGUUUCCAAUGGCCCCACCACCACUGGAACCACCACAGUCCUUUCUGGCUGCACGUGUGCGGAUGUCUUUAUCGAUAUGGAAAUGUAGUCUAAGUCUGGUCUACUAAUAACAUCUAAAGUUUUGAAAGGAGGCAGAAUUUCUCUCCCCUAACAUUCUUCGAAUUGUACAAAAAAGACUUAGGAAGGGGGGAAGAAAGAGCAGGGGAGGUCUAAGAGACAUGAAAGGAGCAGGUAGUCCUUGACUUACGACCACAAUUGGGACCAGAACUUCCAUUGCUAAGUGAGGUGGUGGUUAAGUGAGUCACACCCAGCUUUAUGACCUUUUCGCCAUGGUCGUUAAGUGAAUCACUGUGGUUGUUAGGGGAAUCACGUUAUUAAGUGAAUCCGGCUUCCCCCAUUGACUUUGCUUGUUGGAAAGCGGCUGGGAAGGUUGCAGAUGGUGAUCGUGUGACCCCGGGAUGCUGCAACUGUUGUAAAUACAUGCUAGUUGCCAAGAGCCUGAAUUUUGAUCAUGUGACUGCAGGGACGCUGCAAUGGCCGUAAGUGCGAGGACUGGCCGUAAGUCACUUUUCAGCGCCGUCAUAACUUUGAACGGUCGCUAAACAAAUGGUUGUAAGUCGAGGACUACCUGUAACUGAUAAAGGAUGGGAGUAGCUAAAUUCACACGUGCUUGUGUAGCCAUGAUUUGUUGUACACACCACAAUGGGGUUGGCUCACCCUCGGAACAUAAAUCAAGGUUUACAAGCCAUGUUGGGAGCAUUACCCAGGAUGCUAAGCCAGAAGUGACUGUUGUGGGUUUGUAUAAUGAAUGGUCCCACCCUGAGAGUUGUCUAGAAGAAUGAGAGGGUGAAAGAAGAGCAGGAAUCCCAGAGCAAAGAAGGCUAAAGAAAGAUUGGACAUAGGGGAACUCUCCAUGUGCUGAAAUGCUCUAGAGGGCCAGAAACUUGUCAAUUACAUGCUGUAUUGAGCUGACCUAAUUUCACAUUUCGGAAACAAAACACACGCCAAAAUGUAAUUAUCGUUUGGAAUUUGCCUACCUCUCAAGUUUAUUCAGGGAAACUUUGCUAAUGAAAAAGUAUCACAGUAGAAAAAUACAUCAGGCAAAAGGCUUCCAGAAACACAUACAUGAAGCCAAGUUGCAUAAAAUGGGCCCGUAUUAGGAGAAAGGCCUAUGAAAAUGUCUCCCGCUUUUUGUGCAGAGUUUUCAGCAAAACUUCAAAUGGAGGUGGAAAUUGGUUGGGCAGAAUUCAGAAGUGGAAAAACGAGGCACGGAGAAGAAACAGAAUUGACAAAUUUUGUCCAUCACUGGAUCUGACAUAACCCAACAGUUCUUUAGCGUCAAGUCUCUAGGCUGAUUUACUUCUUGGUCUCCCCCCACUUCCCCAAUUAUUCUGCCUCUUCUUUAAAAGCCUAAAAAAUAAAUAAGUAAAUACUUCAACCCCUGUGCACUCAAUAUUCAUUCCC